This 512-nucleotide ribosomal RNA is filed under the name uncultured bacterium. RNAcentral's name for it is "partial 16S ribosomal RNA". It matches the Rfam family "Bacterial small subunit ribosomal RNA", at positions 28 to 507 of the family's 1533-position model. The record is from RNAcentral.
GAUGGACGCUGGCGGCGUGCCUAAUACAUGCAAGUCGAACGAAACUUCUUUAUCACCGAGUGCUUGCACUCACCGAUAAAGAGUUGAGUGGCGAACGGGUGAGUAACACGUGGGCAACCUGCCCAAAAGAGGGGGAUAACACUUGGAAACAGGUGCUAAUACCGCAUAACCAUAGUUACCGCAUGGUAACUAUGUAAAAGGUGGCUAUACUACCGCUUUUGGAUGGGCCCGCGGCGCAUUAGCUAGUUGGUAGGGUAAAGGCUUACCAAGGCAAUGAUGCGUAGCCGAAUUGAGAGGUUGAUCGGCCACAUUGGGACUGAGACACGGCCCCAACUCCUACGGGAGGCCGCAGUAGGGAAUCUUACGCAAUGGGCGAAAGCCUGAUGGAGCAAAGCCGCGUGGGUGAAGAAGGUCUUCGGAUCGUAAAACCCUGUUGUUAGAGAAGAAAGUGCGUGAGAGUAACUGUUCACGUUUCGACGGUAUCUAACCAGAAAGCCACUGCUAACUACGUG